UGAACACGGCCAGCCGCAUGGAAAGCAAUGGACACUCUAUGAAAAUUCAUCUCAGCGAAACGUCGAAAAGCAUAUUACAGCAUUUCCCAGGAUUCCACUGUCGCUCUCGCGGCGUAAUCAACAUCAAGGGCAAAGGUCAAAUGGAGACAUUCUGGUUGGAUAAAGAACAGCUGUACAUGUUUUUCGUGGCGUUGCUUUUCUCAUCAUAUCGGUUACACGAUGGACGCAGCUAGCAGCGCCACCAAUGCAUUAAAAUCCAUCGCCGAUUCCAAGCAAGUUUCUACCGCGACGCCAAAGCGUACAUCGUACAUCGCACAUCGCACAGACGUACAUCGCACAGACGUCCAGAGUGCCUGGUAGUGCAGCGG
Paramacrobiotus metropolitanus is the source of this 368-nucleotide long non-coding RNA. RefSeq lists it as uncharacterized. The record is from RefSeq and is a predicted model, not a curated record. The transcript is spliced from 4 exons. NCBI's taxonomy places the organism in Eukaryota, Metazoa, Tardigrada, Eutardigrada, Parachela, Macrobiotidae.